Long non-coding RNA from Anopheles arabiensis, 5800 nucleotides. RefSeq lists it as uncharacterized. The transcript has 2 exons. NCBI's taxonomy places the organism in Eukaryota, Metazoa, Arthropoda, Insecta, Diptera, Culicidae. The record is from RefSeq and is a predicted model, not a curated record.
UGAUCCGGAUAUCCGUUUGUAGCGACCAGAGCGCCAUCUGGUGCGCACACCUAGAACUACAGACAGAAAAUGUUUAACGGGCUAGUUAGGCAGGGACUGCACACAAAGCUAGAGCAGGACAAACAGUGGUAGCAUGCUGCACCGCAGCUAUAAAAACGGUGGCUUGCUCCAUACACGCUCUCUCGUCCUAAACGUUUCCACAUCGACACGCGCAUAUCCGUCCGGCUUACCCAACACUUCUUCUCCGGCAACUCUCGAACGAACAACACUAAUUUUCGCGUCUCUCCCGAACUCACCGUUCCGCGGCUUAAAAGAAAAAAAUAAAUCGAAUUCUACCAAAAACGUAGUUCGCAAAGCGUGUUGCGUGUCUCUUUAAAAAAUUAGGGACCACUUUUGUGGCGCCCCUAAAACUGGUGACCCCGACGUGAUCCGCAACCGACGCCGCGAAUUCGUACGUGAGUGGGUGUGUGUACAACGCAUCGCAAACUUGUACCGCGUUGAACGUGUUAAAACGUGCCACCGGCAUCGGAGAUCGACGCAGAGAAGACAACGCGUGUGUGUGUGUGCCUACGACCGGGAGUGCUACCAGCGUUAGAGGUACCGGCAACGCGGCUGGCCUCCUCCCCCCUUUCCCUGCAAAGUGCGCAACGAGCGCCCUUUCAUCAUUCACAGGACGUUGAGUGCGGGCCGACGAAAAAACGCAGCAACGCCGUGUUAGUGCGCCCGUAGCUACACGGAGCGUUCCUGCAUUCAGCGAACAAAAGAACCCCCCGCACACACGCGCGCCGCCUCGAAGCGAGACAAGCGCACACACACCAUCAUCGGCGCAGCAGAAAUUUUCCACCGAGCUUUCGACAGCUGACGCAAUCGACGCAAUUCCUGGAAGCGGAUCGACGACAAUCUCCGCUGGUGGUCUCCUCGACGCCGAUCACCGCCUCGCAAGCUGUUCCUACACCUCGUGCUACUGGGAAUUUUCCGUUUGUGUGCGCUUCCAUCUACGAGUGCGAACAAGAAGGAAGACACCUACGUCGAGUUGCGCACGCAAAUUAUCCAGCCGUAGCAGUAGUGACACAUCGCCGCCAUCACGAUUUUUUUCGCUCAAAGGCGAACCCGCUUGGAUCCAGCCGACAAGAAAGACGACGCCGCCAUUUUGUCUACACAAUUCCGCCGUAUGUGUGAAGACACCAUUUGCUGCUCGCGAAAAAGGACGACGCACACCAUCAUGCGAACCGACGCACUUCAUCGUUCUCACCUCUACCCGUGCAUGAACGUGGAGAGAACCAGGAGUGUUUGCAUCAUCAUCACCGUUUAACACCACAGACGAGAGAGCCGCUGCCGCCAUCAUCGUGUUCGCGUGGAUCUACCCGACCGGGAGGGCCGCUGACAGCAGGCCCCGCGAAGACGCCACUACGCAUGCCGUCACCACGACAACGAUCAUACGUCAUCAUCAUCGUGCUAUUAAGGUAAGAUCCACCCUUUUACGACUAACUGCGAACAUUCUGCAGCGAUAAAAAAAUUAUGUGCUACCCCAACGGGAAAACCGCCGCCGACCGCCGACCAUGCGGUACCUCGCAAUCGACUGAUAACCGACCUCGCAUCCGGACCGCCGAAGACGACUACCUUCCAGUCCGCGCCAGGCACUCAAGCUUUCUAUUAGCUUUCGAACAACCUACCGACCACUACCUAUUCGGUCAGGAGGCGUUAACUGCCGGUCUCUUUGCUCGUGCCACCAUGGACCGCAACGAGGCAGUACGCAAUCGACUUCCUCACCACGAACCAUCGAAAACUCUCGACGAUUAGUAUCAACGGAAAAUGAUCGCCUUGCCACGUUUCUUCGUCGCUACCGAUGCCGACACCUAAGCGAUUAAUCGAAUCGAUACCGAAUCUGCCGCACAGCGGCCCGACCGAAAACGCUACACGUUACGUAUGCCGACCUCGAAGCAAAAUCCCCACAUCGACCGCUACUCGAACCCUAAAGCGAGAUACUUCGCCCAACCGAUGACACUACGAUUCGUUUGGCAGGACCGUAAGGGGGAACAGGAUUCGUCUGCUUUCCUGCUUAUCCACUUGCCCAGACAUCAUCGGGUACUUUUUCGCUCAGCCAGGGUAACCGCUACCGACCAGCACCAAUCUGCUUACCUGCUGACCCGAACGAUAUCAAACCGAAACGUAUCGACACUUGUUUCAACGUUCCUACAGGACACCGUCUGGUACUUUGACCGAUUGGAACAGUUGCUCGCCCAUAGCAACAUACCAUUCGACCGUCGCCGCAACAAACGUAUCACGCUUCAUACCAAGCACUUACACAAAUUUUCGAAGUCGUUUCAGAUCUUUGUAACGGACAGCUACGCUAAUCUCCGUCAACCGCCUGAAACCAACCCAAGCAACGAACGACCACGACCAUAUCGGCCUCGUGACACCGUCACUCGAUCGCCCGCCGAUGACCGGACGCGCACAUAACUCCGAUGUUCCAACUGCCAUCGCCCGAACAACCGUUGACGAGCCGGCAAAACACGACUUCGAUGUCUCCGCCGUCGACACCGACCUGAACGCCGAAAGCCCGAAAGUGCACUUAAUCGAUUUCGCAUGCACCGUCGCUACCUGCAGCUACGUCGACCGCCAGCAGCAUCGACCGCCAGCUGCACCAACCGCCAGCUGCACCCCACCACCACCUAUCCUACGACAUAUGGAAUCGAUCGUAUCGACCGGUGUUACCAGGGCUCAACGGAAACUCGCCUUCCUCUACGAUACCAGUAACACCGCUCUAGGAGGGGGAAUCCUGUAGCGACCAGAGCGCCAUCUGGUGCGCACACCUAGAACUACAGACAGAAAAUGUUUAACGGGCUAGUUAGGCAGGGACUGCACACAAAGCUAGAGCAGGACAAACAGUGGUAGCAUGCUGCACCGCAGCUAUAAAAACGGUGGCUUGCUCCAUACACGCUCUCUCUCGUCCUAAACGUUUCCACAUCGACACGCGCAUAUCCGUCCGGCUUACCCAACACUUCUUCUCCGGCAACUCUCGAACGAACAACACUAAUUUUCGCGUCUCUCCCGAACUCACCGUUCCGCGGCUUAAAAGAAAAAAAUAAAUCGAAUUCUACCAAAAACGUAGUUCGCAAAGCGUGUUGCGUGUCUCUUUAAAAAAUUAGGGACCACUUUUGUGGCGCCCCUAAAACUGGUGACCCCGACGUGAUCCGCAACCGACGCCGCGAAUUCGUACGUGAGUGGGUGUGUGUACAACGCAUCGCAAACUUGUACCGCGUUGAACGUGUUAAAACGUGCCACCGGCAUCGGAGAUCGACGCAGAGAAGACAACGCGUGUGUGUGUGUGCCUACGACCGGGAGUGCUACCAGCGUUAGAGGACGUUGAGUGCGGGCCGACGAAAAAACGCAGCAACGCCGUGUUAGUGCGCCCGUAGCUACACGGAGCGUUCCUGCAUUCAGCGAACAAAAGAACCCCCCGCACACACGCGCGCCGCCUCGAAGCGAGACAAGCGCACACACACCAUCAUCGGCGCAGCAGAAAUUUUCCACCGAGCUUUCGACAGCUGACGCAAUCGACGCAAUUCCUGGAAGCGGAUCGACGACAAUCUCCGCUGGUGGUCUCCUCGACGCCGAUCACCGCCUCGCAAGCUGUUCCUACACCUCGUGCUACUGGGAAUUUUCCGUUUGUGUGCGCUUCCAUCUACGAGUGCGAACAAGAAGGAAGACACCUACGUCGAGUUGCGCACGCAAAUUAUCCAGCCGUAGCAGUAGUGACACAUCGCCGCCAUCACGAUUUUUUCGCUCAAAGGCGAACCCGCUUGGAUCCAGCCGACAAGAAAGACGACGCCGCCAUUUUGUCUACACAAUUCCGCCGUAUGUGUGAAGACACCAUUUGCUGCUCGCGAAAAAGGACGACGCACACCAUCAUGCGAACCGACGCACUUCAUCGUUCUCACCUCUACCCGUGCAUGAACGUGGAGAGAACCAGGAGUGUUUGCAUCAUCAUCACCGUUUAACACCACAGACGAGAGAGCCGCUGCCGCCAUCAUCGUGUUCGCGUGGAUCUACCCGACCGGGAGGGCCGCUGACAGCAGGCCCCGCGAAGACGCCACUACGCAUGCCGUCACCACGACAACGAUCAUACGUCAUCAUCAUCGUGCUAUUAAGGUAAGAUCCACCCUUUUACGACUAACUGCGAACAUUCUGCAGCGAUAAAAAAAUUAUGUGCUACCCCAACGGGAAAACCGCCGCCGACCGCCGACCAUGCGGUACCUCGCAAUCGACUGAUAACCGACCUCGCAUCCGGACCGCCGAAGACGACUACCUUCCAGUCCGCGCCAGGCACUCAAGCUUUCUAUUAGCUUUCGAACAACCUACCGACCACUACCUAUUCGGUCAGGAGGCGUUAACUGCCGGUCUCUUUGCUCGUGCCACCAUGGACCGCAACGAGGCAGUACGCAAUCGACUUCCUCACCACGAACCAUCGAAAACUCUCGACGAUUAGUAUCAACGGAAAAUGAUCGCCUUGCCACGUUUCUUCGUCGCUACCGAUGCCGACACCUAAGCGAUUAAUCGAAUCGAUACCGAAUCUGCCGCACAGCGGCCCGACCGAAAACGCUACACGUUACGUAUGCCGACCUCGAAGCAAAAUCCCCACAUCGACCGCUACUCGAACCCUAAAGCGAGAUACUUCGCCCAACCGAUGACACUACGAUUCGUUUGGCAGGACCGUAAGGGGGAACAGGAUUCGUCUGCUUUCCUGCUUAUCCACUUGCCCAGACAUCAUCGGGUACUUUUUCGCUCAGCCAGGGUAACCGCUACCGACCAGCACCAAUCUGCUUACCUGCUGACCCGAACGAUAUCAAACCGAAACGUAUCGACACUUGUUUCAACGUUCCUACAGGACACCGUCUGGUACUUUGACCGAUUGGAACAGUUGCUCGCCCAUAGCAACAUACCAUUCGACCGUCGCCGCAACAAACGUAUCACGCUUCAUACCAAGCACUUACACAAAUUUUCGAAGUCGUUUCAGAUCUUUGUAACGGACAGCUACGCUAAUCUCCGUCAACCGCCUGAAACCAACCCAAGCAACGAACGACCACGACCAUAUCGGCCUCGUGACACCGUCACUCGAUCGCCCGCCGAUGACCGGACGCGCACAUAACUCCGAUGUUCCAACUGCCAUCGCCCGAACAACCGUUGACGAGCCGGCAAAACACGACUUCGAUGUCUCCGCCGUCGACACCGACCUGAACGCCGAAAGCCCGAAAGUGCACUUAAUCGAUUUCGCAUGCACCGUCGCUACCUGCAGCUACGUCGACCGCCAGCAGCAUCGACCGCCAGCUGCACCAACCGCCAGCUGCACCCCACCACCACCUAUCCUACGACAUAUGGAAUCGAUCGUAUCGACCGGUGUUACCAGGGCUCAACGGAAACUCGCCUUCCUCUACGAUACCAGUAACACCGCUCUAGGAGGGGGAAUCCUGUAGCGACCAGAGCGCCAUCUGGUGCGCACACCUAGAACUACAGACAGAAAAUGUUUAACGGGCUAGUUAGGCAGGGACUGCACACAAAGCUAGAGCAGGACAAACAGUGGUAGCAUGCUGCACCGCAGCUAUAAAAACGGUGGCUUGCUCCAUACACGCUCUCUCUCGUCCUAAACGUUUCCACAUCGACACGCGCAUAUCCGUCCGGCUUACCCAACACUUCUUCUCCGGCAACUCUCGAACGAACAACACUAAUUUUCGCGUCUCUCCCGAACUCACCGUUCCGCGGCUUAAAAGAAAAAAAUAAAUCGAAUUCUACCAAAAACGUA